Molecule: non-coding RNA, 778 nt
Filed under: Setora sinensis
Lineage: Eukaryota; Metazoa; Arthropoda; Insecta; Lepidoptera; Limacodidae
Source: RNAcentral
AUAAAAAUUAUUUAUGGUUUUAAAUUUUAUUAUUUAUUUAUUUUACAUAUAAAUUUUAGUAAAAUAUAUUAAUUUAAAAAAUUAAUAAAUUUAUAUUAAGUAGUAAUUAAUAUUAAAAAUUUAAGAAAUUAAGAUUUAGUAAUAUAAAAAUUUAUAACAAAUUUUGUGCCAGCAGUUGCGGUUAAACAAAAAUGAAAUUAAAUUUUAUUAAUAAUAAAAAAUAAAAAUAAAAAUUUAUUUUUAAAUGUUAAAUUAUAAAGUGAAAUUUUUAUUUUAAUUAAAAAAAUUAUUUUUAUAUUUUAAUAAAUUUUAAUAAUAAACUAGGAUUAGAUACCCUAUUAUUUAGAAUUUAAAUUAAAAAGUAUUAAAAUAGUAAAUGUAAAUAUAUUGAAACUUAAAUAAUUUGGCGGUAUUUUAGUUUAUUUAGAGGAAUCUGUUUAGUAAUUGAUAAUCCACGAAUAAAUUUACUUAAUUUUUAAUUUUGUAUAUCGUUGUUAAAAAAAUAUUUUUUAAAAAAAUUAAUAUUUAAAAAUUAAUAAAAUAAAUUAAAUCAGAUCAAGAUGCAGAUUAUAAUUAAGAUAUAAAAUGGAUUACAAUAAAUUUAUUUUAUUUGGAUAAUAUUAUGAAAAAAUAUUUAAAAUUGGAUUUAAAUGUAAUUUUAUUUAGUUUUAUAAAAUGAUUAAUAUUUAAAAUAUGUACAUAUUGCCCGUCGCUUUCAUAAAUAAGUUGAAAUAAGUCGUAACAAAGUAGAAGUACUGGAAAGUGUUUCUAGAAAGAA